CCUACGGGAGGCAGCAGUGGGGAAUCUUGCGCAAUGGGCGAAAGCCUGACGCAGCAACGCCGCGUGCGGGAAGAAGGCUUUCGGGCUGUAAACCGCUUUCAGCAGGAACGAAAAUGACGGUACCUGCAGAAGAAGGAGCGGCCAACUAUGUGCCAGCAGCCGCGGUGAUACAUAGGCUUCAAGCGUUGUCCGGAUUUAUUGGGCGUAAAGAGUUCGUAGGCGGUCGAGUAAGUCGGGUGUGAAAAUUCUGGGCUCAACCCAGAGACGCCACCCGAUACUGCUUAACUUGAGUUCGAUAGGGGAGUGGGGAAUUCCUAGUGUAGCGGUGAAAUGCGCAGAUAUUAGGAGGAACACCGGUGGCGAAGGCGCCACUCUGGAUCGAUACUGACGCUGAGGAACGAAAGCAUGGGUAGCAAACAGGAUUAGAUACCCUGGUAGUCCAUGCCGUAAACGGUGGGCACUAGGUGUGGGAUUCUAUUAACGAAUUCCGCGCCGUCGCUAACGCAUUAAGUGCCCCGCCUGGGGAGUCGGUCGCAAGCUAAAACUUAAAUGAAUUGACGG
Molecule: ribosomal RNA, 561 nt
Filed under: uncultured bacterium
Lineage: Bacteria
Description: bacterial SSU rRNA
Rfam family: Bacterial small subunit ribosomal RNA
Source: RNAcentral